GUGCCUAAAUUUAAUGAGUAAGGAAAACCAUUGAGUCUUGCUAAUCGCUUGACAGAACGCUUCAAGGCAAUAUGGAAUGCAAAUUCCAUAUGAAGCAUCAAUUUUUGAAUGGGUACAGGUCGUCCCUUUGAACUCAUGAGUCCACUACUUUUCGGACUGUAGAGUUUGGGUGAAGCGAUCUUGCCCA
Stomoxys calcitrans (stable fly) is the source of this 187-nucleotide non-coding RNA. NCBI's taxonomy places the organism in Eukaryota, Metazoa, Arthropoda, Insecta, Diptera, Muscidae. The record is from Rfam.